UCCCUGGAAGACUAGUGGUUAGGCCACAGUGCUGUUACCACUGCUGCCCAGUUGGAUUCCUGGCCAGGGAA
Molecule: non-coding RNA, 71 nt
Organism: Pangasius djambal
Lineage: Eukaryota; Metazoa; Chordata; Actinopteri; Siluriformes; Pangasiidae
Source: the annotation of a GenBank genome assembly